Molecule: small RNA, 350 nt
Filed under: Pan troglodytes (chimpanzee)
Lineage: Eukaryota; Metazoa; Chordata; Mammalia; Primates; Hominidae
Description: retained intron
Source: RNAcentral
GGCAGCCACAGCUGCCGUCUUGGAGAAUCCUGCAUCAACACAGUGGGCUCUUUCCGCUGCCAGCGGGACAGCAGCUGCGGGACUGGCUAUGAGCUCACAGAGGACAAUAGCUGCAAAGAUAUUGACGAGUGUGAGAGUGGUAUUCAUAACUGCCUCCCCGAUUUUAUCUGUCAGAAUACUCUGGGAUCCUUCCGCUGCCGACCCAAGCUACAGUGCAAGAGUGGCUUUAUACAAGAUGCUCUAGGCAACUGUAUUGGUAAGAGGUGUGCUGCCAGGAUUAGCGGGCUAUUCCAGGAGGGGUCAGCGACCUAGCCUUGGGGCAGGCCUCUAGAAUCUGCAGGGCCGCAUGG